GUGAGAACGCCCUUUACACUCCCCCAGGUUAAGGAGCUGGCAUCAGGCGCAGAAUACUAGCCCAUAACGCCUAAUCCCGUCACACCCUUAAGGGUAUUCAGCAGUGAUAAAUAUUGUCCAUAAGCGUCAGCUUGACCCAGUCAAAGAAAAUUAGGGCCGGCCAACCCAGUGCCAGCCGCCGCGGCUACACCAUGGGCCCAAGUAGAUAGCUACCGGCGUUAAGCGUGAUUAAAGUAAAAACCCCAAUAGAGUUAAAUAUAGACUUAGCUGUGAUAAGCUUGUUGUUUAGAAAAACAGAAACGAAAGUUACUCUAGUCUCACUUGAAUACACGACAGCUGGGAUACAAACUGGGAUUAGAU
RNAcentral lists this ribosomal RNA (360 nucleotides) under Strongylopus wageri (Wager's stream frog). Its description in RNAcentral is "partial small subunit ribosomal RNA". The record is from RNAcentral. Lineage: Eukaryota; Metazoa; Chordata; Amphibia; Anura; Pyxicephalidae.